CGGUCCAGACUCCUACGGGAGGCAGCAGUGGGGAAUAUUGCACAAUGGGCGAAAGCCUGAUGCAGCGACGCCGCGUGAGGGAUGAAGGCCUUCGGGUUGUAAACCUCUUUCAGCAGGGAAGAAGCGCAAGUGACGGUACCUGCAGAAGAAGCGCCGGCUAACUACGUGCCAGCAGCCGCGGUAA
Molecule: ribosomal RNA, 184 nt
Filed under: Cellulosimicrobium funkei
Lineage: Bacteria; Bacillati; Actinomycetota; Actinomycetes; Micrococcales; Promicromonosporaceae
Description: partial 16S ribosomal RNA
Rfam family: Bacterial small subunit ribosomal RNA
Source: RNAcentral